AUUGAACGCUGGCGGCAGGCUUAACACAUGCAAGUCGAACGGUAACAUAAAGAAGCUUGCUUCUUUGAUGACGAGUGGCGGACGGGUGAGUAAUGCUUGGGAAUCUAGCUUAUGGAGGGGGAUAACUACGGGAAACUGUAGCUAAUACCGCGUAAUAUCGAAAGAUUAAAGUGUGGGACCUUCGGGCCACAUGCCAUAGGAUGAGCCCAAGUGGGAUUAGGUAGUUGGUGAGGUAAAGGCUCACCAAGCCGACGAUCUCUAGCUGGUCUGGGAGGAUGACCAGCCACACUGGGACUGAGACACGGCCCAGACUCCUACGGGCUGCAGCAGUGGGGAAUAUUGCGCAAUGGGGGCAACCCUGACGCAGCCAUGCCGCGUGAAUGAAGAAGGCCUUCGGGUUGUAAAGUUCUUUCGGUAGCGAAAGGCACUUAGUUUA
This 436-nucleotide ribosomal RNA is filed under the name Streptococcus sp. oral taxon C14. RNAcentral's name for it is "bacterial SSU rRNA". It matches the Rfam family "Bacterial small subunit ribosomal RNA", at positions 30 to 460 of the family's 1533-position model. Lineage: Bacteria; Bacillati; Bacillota; Bacilli; Lactobacillales; Streptococcaceae. The record is from RNAcentral.